This 325-nucleotide long non-coding RNA is filed under the name Nicotiana benthamiana. RNAcentral describes it as "long non-coding RNA (NBEN_LNC036889)". The record is from RNAcentral. Lineage: Eukaryota; Viridiplantae; Streptophyta; Magnoliopsida; Solanales; Solanaceae.
AAAGUCUUAGUGACCGGCAAAGACGAUCAUCCGGUUGUUUUUUAGUAUUCUACCAUUUUUUUUAUUUUUUAAAUUAAAUAUAAUAGCCAUGACCCGACCCGAUCCAAUAUCCAUAUCCACAAAUUAAAAUAUCCCCCAAAUUCGAUACUUCUCAGUUGUUUCUCAAGCGUUUUUUAAGGCUCUCAAGCAAGGAUCAGCAAAAUACAUACUACUAUCUCAAUUCUCUUCCCAAGCAACAGUGUGUCAAGGAUCUCAAUCAGCAGUCUUUCAGGGCUCUCAAGCCAAAAAGAUGGCUUCUUCUCCAUCUCAUAGAAGUACUUUAAGG